Dipodomys ordii (Ord's kangaroo rat) is the source of this 65-nucleotide non-coding RNA. Lineage: Eukaryota; Metazoa; Chordata; Mammalia; Rodentia; Heteromyidae. The record is from Rfam.
GGUGGCUCAAUGGUAGAGCGCUUGCCUUGCAUGCAUGAGACCCUGGGUUCGAUUUCUCCGCACCA